Molecule: transfer RNA, 76 nt
Filed under: Caudoviricetes sp.
Lineage: Duplodnaviria; Heunggongvirae; Uroviricota; Caudoviricetes
Description: tRNA-Glu
Rfam family: tRNA
About the family: Transfer RNA (tRNA) molecules are approximately 80 nucleotides in length. Their secondary structure includes four short double-helical elements and three loops (D, anti-codon, and T loops).
Source: RNAcentral
GUUCCCAUCGUCUAAUUGGUUAGGACAUCACUCUUUCACAGUGAAAAUCCGGGAUCGUGCCCCGGUGGGAAUGCCA